Molecule: ribosomal RNA, 301 nt
Filed under: uncultured bacterium
Lineage: Bacteria
Description: partial 16S ribosomal RNA
Rfam family: Bacterial small subunit ribosomal RNA
Source: RNAcentral
CAGUAGCCGCGGGAAUACGGAGGGCGCGAGCGUUACCCGGAUUUACUGGGCGUAAAGGGCGUGUAGGCGGCCUGGGGCGUCCCAUGUGAAAGGCCACGGCUCAACCGUGGAGGAGCGUGGGAUACGCUCAGGCUAGAGGGUGGGAGAGGGUGGUGGAAUUCCCGGAGUAGCGGUGAAAUGCGCAGAUACCGGGAGGAACGCCGAUGGCGAAGGCAGCCACCUGGUCCACUUCUGACGCUGAGGCGCGAAAGCGUGGGGAGCAAACCGGAUUAGAGACCCCCGUAGUCCAUGUCUCUUAUAC